GUUGAUGAAUUCAGAAUAUUUCUUGACCAAUUCCUUUAGUUUGAGCUCAUCCAAAUAUUCCCCUGCUUCAUCUCUUAGAUGCAGUCUAAUUUCAGUUCCACGGCCAAGAGGUUCAUUCCAUGUAUCUUCAGAAAUGGCAAAUGCCCCAUCUGCCUUUGAUUCCCAGACAUAUUGUUUGUCGUCAUUGUGCUUGCUGAUGACUUCAACAUAGUCAGCCACAAGAUACACAGAGUAAAACCCAACACCAAAUUGUCCAAUCAGGUUAAGGUCACCACUUGUCUGCAUCUUCUCGACAAAAGCUGAAGUUCCAGAUUUAGCUAUGGUUCCCAAAUUCUUUCUUAGAUCCUCCUUGGUCAUUCCAACACCUCUGUCGCGAAUGGAAAGAAUUUUCUUUUCUUUAUCAAGUUUAAUCUGAAUCUCAAGCUUAGUAUUAUCACCCUCACCAAGAACCUCCUUGUCAGUGAGUGCAAGGAACCUAAUCUUGUCCAGUGCAUCAGAAGCAUUGGAAAUCAGCUCCCUCAAAAAGAUGUCCUUGUUACUGUAGAGAGAGUUGAUAAGGAUGUCCAUAAGACGAGAGACCUCAGCCUGGAACUCAAACUUCUCCGCACUAGCUCGGAGAGUUUUCCUUGACAUAGACUCAGCUUCCCUCUUAGCCACAUCAGAAUCAGUCGAUAAACCAUUAGGAACAGCACCAAACUUCUCCUCAACCUUUGGUGGAUCUACUGGUGCAUCAGAAUCAGCUUCUGCAUUUGCCUGUAUCUUUCGACCUUGAUCUGGAACAAGGUAAAUCAGGCAUAGCAGAAACAGGACGAACGGGAUCUUCCACUUCCUCAUUGUCUCCGUCACCGGAAUUUCAACUUUAGAGCUCGCCGGCCGAUGAUUUUACAAGCAGCGUUCAAAGUAG
This 904-nucleotide unclassified non-coding RNA is filed under the name Hevea brasiliensis (rubber tree). The record is from RNAcentral. Lineage: Eukaryota; Viridiplantae; Streptophyta; Magnoliopsida; Malpighiales; Euphorbiaceae.